Long non-coding RNA from Sander lucioperca (pikeperch), 109 nucleotides. RefSeq lists it as uncharacterized. The record is from RefSeq and is a predicted model, not a curated record. Lineage: Eukaryota; Metazoa; Chordata; Actinopteri; Perciformes; Percidae. The transcript is spliced from 3 exons.
UAACGGUACUAAUACUGUCCUAGUACUGGGAUCGUUAACGGUACUAAUACUGUCCUAGUAGUGGUACCGUUAACGGUACUAAUACUGUCCUAAGGGAGCCAUACCCUAA